This 1150-nucleotide ribosomal RNA is filed under the name Salmonella enterica. RNAcentral describes it as "partial 23S ribosomal RNA". It matches the Rfam family "Bacterial large subunit ribosomal RNA", at positions 592 to 1742 of the family's 2925-position model. The record is from RNAcentral. Lineage: Bacteria; Pseudomonadati; Pseudomonadota; Gammaproteobacteria; Enterobacterales; Enterobacteriaceae.
UGUGACUGCGUACCUUUUGUAUAAUGGGUCAGCGACUUAUAUUCUGUAGCAAGGUUAACCGUAUAGGGGAGCCGGAGGGAAACCGAGUCUUAACCGGGCGUUAAGUUGCAGGGUAUAGACCCGAAACCCGGUGAUCUAGCCAUGGGCAGGUUGAAGGUUGGGUAACACUAACUGGAGGACCGAACCGACUAAUGUUGAAAAAUUAGCGGAUGACCUGUGGCUGGGGGUGAAAGGCCAAUCAAACCGGGAGAUAGCUGGUUCUCCCCGAAAGCUAUUUAGGUAGCGCCUCGUGAAUUCAUCUCCGGGGGUAGAGCACUGUUUCGGCUAGGGGGCCAUCCCGGCUUACCAACCCGAUGCAAACUGCGAAUACCGGAGAAUGUUAUCACGGGAGACACACGGCGGGUGCUAACGUCCGUCGUGAAGAGGGAAACAACCCAGACCGCCAGCUAAGGUCCCAAAGUCAUGGUUAAGUGGGAAACGAUGUGGGAAGGCCCAGACAGCCAGGAUGUUGGCUUAGAAGCAGCCAUCAUUUAAAGAAAGCGUAAUAGCUCACUGGUCGAGUCGGCCUGCGCGGAAGAUGUAACGGGGCUAAACCAUGCACCGAAGCUGCGGCAGCGACGCUGAUGCGUUGUUGGGUAGGGGAGCGUUCUGUAAGCCUGCGAAGGUGGCCUGUGAGGGUUGCUGGAGGUAUCAGAAGUGCGAAUGCUGACAUAAGUAACGAUAAAGCGGGUGAAAAGCCCGCUCGCCGGAAGACCAAGGGUUCCUGUCCAACGUUAAUCGGGGCAGGGUGAGUCGACCCCUAAGGCGAGGCCGAAAGGCGUAGUCGAUGGGAAACGGGUUAAUAUUCCCGUACUUGGUGUUACUGCGAAGGGGGGACGGAGAAGGCUAUGUUGGCCGGGCGACGGUUGUCCCGGUUUAAGCGUGUAGGUGUGUGUUCCAGGUAAAUCCGGUUCACUUUAACACUGAGGCGUGAUGACGAGGCACUACGGUGCUGAAGCAACAAAUGCCCUGCUUCCAGGAAAAGCCUCUAAGCAUCAGGUAACAUCAAAUCGUACCCCAAACCGACACAGGUGGUCAGGUAGAGAAUACCAAGGCGCUUGAGAGAACUCGGGUGAAGGAACUAGGCAAAAUGGUGCCGUAACUUCGGGAG